RNAcentral lists this ribosomal RNA (506 nucleotides) under uncultured Glomeraceae. RNAcentral's name for it is "SSU rRNA". It matches the Rfam family "Eukaryotic small subunit ribosomal RNA", at positions 569 to 1078 of the family's 1831-position model. The record is from RNAcentral. Lineage: Eukaryota; Fungi; Glomeromycota; Glomeromycetes; Glomerales; Glomeraceae.
AGCAGCCGCGGUAAUUCCAGCUCCAAUAGCGUAUAUUAAAGUUGUUGCAGUUAAAAAGCUCGUAGUUGAAUUUCGGGGUUAGUAGGUUGGUCAUGCCUCUGGUAUGUACUGGUCUCGCUGAUUCCUCCUUCCUGAUGAACCGUAAUGCCAUUAAUUUGGUGUUGCGGGGAAACUGGACUGUUACUUUGAAAAAAUUAGAGUGUUUAAAGCAGGCUAACGCCUGAAUACAUUAGCAUGGAAUAAUGAAAUAGGACGUUCGAUCCUAUUUUGUUGGUUUCUAGGAUUGACGUAAUGAUUAAUAGGGAUAGUUGGGGGCAUUAGUAUUCAAUUGUCAGAGGUGAAAUUCUUGGAUUUAUUGAAGACUAACUACUGCGAAAGCAUUUGCCAAGGAUGUUUUCAUUAAUCAAGAACGAAAGUUAGGGGAUCGAAGACGAUCAGAUACCGUCGUAGUCUUAACCAUAAACUAUGCCGACUAGGGAUCGGAUGAUGUUAUUUUUAAUGACUCA